This 497-nucleotide ribosomal RNA is filed under the name Picrostigeus recticauda. RNAcentral describes it as "eukaryotic LSU rRNA". Lineage: Eukaryota; Metazoa; Arthropoda; Insecta; Hymenoptera; Ichneumonidae. The record is from RNAcentral.
UCGCGAUGUUGCGAUGACUUCGGUCUUGCGGCACGCUGCCUUUCACGAGAUUGGUAUCGUCGGCGUGCACUUCUCCCCUAGUAGGACGUCGCGACCCGUUGGGUGUCGGUCUACGGCCCGAGUGGGCGCCUGUCUCGUGUGGCACUUUACGGUGUCACUGCGGGGCAGACCCUCGGUUGCCUGACCGGCUGCCCGGCGGUACUCGCAAGGUAUCUGGCCGCAAAUAUUCGAACUGCGUCCAGCCCGUCGCAAGCGAGGCAAGUGUUUCCCGAAUGUACGGAUCUAAUGCCGUCAUCGGGCCUGGCCAGCUGUUGGUUGACGGUGUCCUAGGACAGGCUAUAACAAUUAUGAUACCGGUCAGCGACGCUACUGCUUUGGGUACUUUCAGGACCCGUCUUGAAACACGGACCAAGGAGUCUAACAUGUGCGCGAGUCAUUGGGAACUAUUAAGCCUAAAGGCGCAAUGAAAGUGAAGGUCGGCCUCGCGCCGACCGAGG